Molecule: long non-coding RNA, 2364 nt
Organism: Contarinia nasturtii (swede midge)
Lineage: Eukaryota; Metazoa; Arthropoda; Insecta; Diptera; Cecidomyiidae
Exons: 5
Source: RefSeq, a predicted model, not a curated record
AACGCGCGCGCGACUUUGCCUAUGAUUGUGUGUGCUCGCUAACUGCUCGAUUCUUUUAUUUAAAUGUUUAAGUGUUUGUACUGCACGAUUUUAAACUACACACAAGAAAAAGCGAGAAAUAAAAAUUCUUACGUUUCGUCUUCACUUGACUCGAUUUCGGCACAAACACACAAAAACUACGAUCGUAUGUGUUAUUGCAUUAACAAUCUAUCGAUCAAAAUUCAUUUUUUUUUUGUUUUCGUUCGUUCGUUCAUUUAGUGGGUCUAAGUAUUUUAAAAAUUCAUCGAUGUCAUCAAAAAUUAUCCAUCAUUGGAUGUUUUUAAAACUGUCAUGCACGUGUGUGUAUAUGUAUUGUGCAUUAGCAUGCAUAUUAGCGGCAAAACCGCGCCGAAUUCGAGAAUAUAACGUAAUUAUUAUAAUCAUACAUAGAUAUUCGAGAAUGUGAGUGCGUCGGCGCGCGCAUAUUCGUGUUUCCGUGUGUUGAGAUGUCGGCAUGUGUGACUUAAUUCAGUUCAGGCAAUCUCUGUUGGCUGGAUGUUUGCCUGUGUGUGUUACAAAUCGCAAGAAAAAACACAAAUAUUUUUCAUUCCUUGCCAAAUUUGGUUAUUCGUUUUGAGAUGCUCGAGUUUGAGAACAAAUACAUGUUUGAACGGAACAACACGGCGCAUAUACAUAUGAAAAACAAAUCAGUUUUGUUUCCCAAAAAAAACGCUUCAAUCAAAUGGAUCUCUCAGAUGUACUCCUUUAUGUAAACAUGUAUGUAAUUCUUGGUGAGAAUGAUAGGGUAAAUUUGUAUUUCUACAAGGAAGGCAUUCCAAAAGGAUAAAGUAUUUUCUAGAAUACUAUUUUGAGGAUCUUCAAUAUAUAUAAUAUCCAAACAAUUGAAUUCAAACAAUGCACAGUUUUGUAAAGAACAUUUAUUUUUGUGUGGAAUUGCUCCACAUUCAAUCAAAAAUACACGACAUUUGGCGUUUUUCAUCAGCGUAAAGGUAAAAAAAAAUGCAUUAACACCUAAAAUAUUAGCCAAAUAAAAUGAUCCCUGUCUUGGAACUUGAAAUUUUAUUUGACACAUUAAAUUCAUUUUUCGCCAUUCAAAUAUUUCAAACGAAAUGUCUUUUAUAUUUUUGGUAUUAAUAUGUUCAAGAUACACUUGUAUUUUUGUAGCAGCUAAAGGAAAAUAAACAUGCAAGAAAAAUAGGACAUUAUCUUGAAUUUCAAAUUCAAUUGUUUUGUUAUACCAUGUAGCAAUAAUGUGAAGAAGUACAAAAUAACUCUCACAUUCAAAAUGUAUGGCCAACUAUAGCUAAUUUUAUGCGCACAUUUCAUUUUUGGCAUUGGGCACCCCCUCCCAUCGAAAAUUUCAAAAAGUACCCCCAAAAUAAGGGGGUAUUUGCUCACGAAAGGCAGUUCGAUUAUAAGUUUUCGAUAAGUAUGGUCUGUACGAAAUGAUGAGAACAAAUCAAUUACUACGAGACGAUUUUGGAAUAUGAUUUUCGAUCUCGAAGAAAUCGAUCGUAUUAUAUCUGUGAAUAAGCAGUUUGAGUGCCAAAUCGUUUCGGAUGGGAUAUCGGCAUCAGUUUUGUACAGUUUUUUAGGCAGCGAAUUGCAAUUCGAUUCGUCUAGUGCAAGAGAUAAGUAUCGGAAAAAUAAGUUUGUGUAUGAGAUCGGAAUCGACCCCGGAUUGAACACAUGGAAUGCCUCGGUUCGUUGAAAUAUUCGCACCAAAAAAGAUAUAAGUAGUCAUCAAUACCAUUACAUGACCAAACAAGGUAUUCGUAAUCGAAAAGGAGAAAGAUGGACUGCAGCAUUCACGACGUUUGAAGAAAACCACAGAAACGAUCGAACCAAGUAUGAACGUAUGCCAUCGCCGAAAGGCCAAAAUUGGUGGGACUACAUCAGACAUCGUUUGACGUGCUUGAAGAAGGGCAUGGCUGCGUACACAACAGAACAGUAUACUCGAUUACGUUUCGAUAAAUAUUGGGUGUGUCAAUUAAUUUUAAAGGAUUAUAUAUUGAAUCAAAUCGAAUGAGCGACAACUUUGCUGCACUAAUUCAGAAUCCAAACCAAACUCGUGAAGAGGCCCAACGGCACAACGAUACGUGUCUAAGGUUAUCAACCCAUUCUGAGGACUGUCUGGCAUCGAGAUAUUUGUGCUGCCAAAUUGAUCAUGUACAGAGGACAUUGUGCACUCUUCGGAUAUGCGUUGAACGUGAGCUUCCGCCAUUGAAUUGGAAUUGGAUAUAAAAUGAAUUUAUUUUUAAAAAAAUUAUGUUAUAGUAUUUUACACAGUUGGAGUCGUCUUAGUGACUCUCAGAAAACGUACCGAGGUGGCAUUGUGCUUUAUAAUUAUUGAUAAAUGAGUGA